GACGAACGCUGGCGGCGUGCUUAACACAUGCAAGUCGAACGGAAAGGCCCUGCUUUUGCGGGGUGCUCGAGUGGCGAACGGGUGAGUAACACGUGAGUAACCUGCCCUUGACUUUGGGAUAACUUCAGGAAACUGGUGCUAAUACCGGAUAGGAGCUCCUGAUGCAUGGUGGGGGUUGGAAAGUUUCGGCGGUUGGGGAUGGACUCGCGGCUUAUCAGCUUGUGGGUGGGGUAGUGGCUUACCAAGGCUUUGACGGGUAGCCGGCCUGAGAGGGUGACCGGCCACAUUGGGACUGAGAUACGGCCCAGACUCCUACGGGAGGCAGCAGUGGGGAAUAUUGCACAAUGGGCGGAAGCCUGAUGCAGCAACGCCGCGUGCGGGAUAACGGCCUUCGGGUUGUAAACCGCUUUCGCCUGUGACGAAGCGUGAGUGACGGUAAUGGGUAAAGAAGCACCGGCUAACUACGUG
RNAcentral lists this ribosomal RNA (468 nucleotides) under uncultured bacterium. RNAcentral describes it as "partial 16S ribosomal RNA". It matches the Rfam family "Bacterial small subunit ribosomal RNA", at positions 28 to 507 of the family's 1533-position model. The record is from RNAcentral.